GCCGGAAUGGCGAAACUGGUAGACGCACAGCGUUCAGAGCGCUGCGGGAGCAAUCCCGUGGAGGUUCGAGUCCUCUUUCCGGCA
Molecule: transfer RNA, 84 nt
Filed under: Candidatus Falkowbacteria bacterium RIFCSPLOWO2_02_FULL_45_21
Lineage: Bacteria; Candidatus Falkowiibacteriota
Description: tRNA-Leu
Rfam family: tRNA
About the family: Transfer RNA (tRNA) molecules are approximately 80 nucleotides in length.
Source: RNAcentral